This 2000-nucleotide ribosomal RNA is filed under the name Staphylococcus aureus M1534. RNAcentral describes it as "bacterial LSU rRNA". It matches the Rfam family "Bacterial large subunit ribosomal RNA", at positions 922 to 2925 of the family's 2925-position model. Lineage: Bacteria; Bacillati; Bacillota; Bacilli; Caryophanales; Staphylococcaceae. The record is from RNAcentral.
GGGGCCCCUCUCGGGUUACCGAAUUCAGACAAACUCCGAAUGCCAAUUAAUUUAACUUGGGAGUCAGAACAUGGGUGAUAAGGUCCGUGUUCGAAAGGGAAACAGCCCAGACCACCAGCUAAGGUCCCAAAAUAUAUGUUAAGUGGAAAAGGAUGUGGCGUUGCCCAGACAACUAGGAUGUUGGCUUAGAAGCAGCCAUCAUUUAAAGAGUGCGUAAUAGCUCACUAGUCGAGUGACACUGCGCCGAAAAUGUACCGGGGCUAAACAUAUUACCGAAGCUGUGGAUUGUCCUUUGGACAAUGGUAGGAGAGCGUUCUAAGGGCGUUGAAGCAUGAUCGUAAGGACAUGUGGAGCGCUUAGAAGUGAGAAUGCCGGUGUGAGUAGCGAAAGACGGGUGAGAAUCCCGUCCACCGAUUGACUAAGGUUUCCAGAGGAAGGCUCGUCCGCUCUGGGUUAGUCGGGUCCUAAGCUGAGGCCGACAGGCGUAGGCGAUGGAUAACAGGUUGAUAUUCCUGUACCACCUAUAAUCGUUUUAAUCGAUGGGGGGACGCAGUAGGAUAGGCGAAGCGUGCGAUUGGAUUGCACGUCUAAGCAGUAAGGCUGAGUAUUAGGCAAAUCCGGUACUCGUUAAGGCUGAGCUGUGAUGGGGAGAAGACAUUGUGUCUUCGAGUCGUUGAUUUCACACUGCCGAGAAAAGCCUCUAGAUAGAAAAUAGGUGCCCGUACCGCAAACCGACACAGGUAGUCAAGAUGAGAAUUCUAAGGUGAGCGAGCGAACUCUCGUUAAGGAACUCGGCAAAAUGACCCCGUAACUUCGGGAGAAGGGGUGCUCUUUAGGGUUAACGCCCAGAAGAGCCGCAGUGAAUAGGCCCAAGCGACUGUUUAUCAAAAACACAGGUCUCUGCUAAACCGUAAGGUGAUGUAUAGGGGCUGACGCCUGCCCGGUGCUGGAAGGUUAAGAGGAGUGGUUAGCUUCUGCGAAGCUACGAAUCGAAGCCCCAGUAAACGGCGGCCGUAACUAUAACGGUCCUAAGGUAGCGAAAUUCCUUGUCGGGUAAGUUCCGACCCGCACGAAAGGCGUAACGAUUUGGGCACUGUCUCAACGAGAGACUCGGUGAAAUCAUAGUACCUGUGAAGAUGCAGGUUACCCGCGACAGGACGGAAAGACCCCGUGGAGCUUUACUGUAGCCUGAUAUUGAAAUUCGGCACAGCUUGUACAGGAUAGGUAGGAGCCUUUGAAACGUGAGCGCUAGCUUACGUGGAGGCGCUGGUGGGAUACUACCCUAGCUGUGUUGGCUUUCUAACCCGCACCACUUAUCGUGGUGGGAGACAGUGUCAGGCGGGCAGUUUGACUGGGGCGGUCGCCUCCUAAAAGGUAACGGAGGCGCUCAAAGGUUCCCUCAGAAUGGUUGGAAAUCAUUCAUAGAGUGUAAAGGCAUAAGGGAGCUUGACUGCGAGACCUACAAGUCGAGCAGGGUCGAAAGACGGACUUAGUGAUCCGGUGGUUCCGCAUGGAAGGGCCAUCGCUCAACGGAUAAAAGCUACCCCGGGGAUAACAGGCUUAUCUCCCCCAAGAGUUCACAUCGACGGGGAGGUUUGGCACCUCGAUGUCGGCUCAUCGCAUCCUGGGGCUGUAGUCGGUCCCAAGGGUUGGGCUGUUCGCCCAUUAAAGCGGUACGCGAGCUGGGUUCAGAACGUCGUGAGACAGUUCGGUCCCUAUCCGUCGUGGGCGUAGGAAAUUUGAGAGGAGCUGUCCUUAGUACGAGAGGACCGGGAUGGACAUACCUCUGGUGUACCAGUUGUCGUGCCAACGGCAUAGCUGGGUAGCUAUGUGUGGACGGGAUAAGUGCUGAAAGCAUCUAAGCAUGAAGCCCCCCUCAAGAUGAGAUUUCCCAACUUCGGUUAUAAGAUCCCUCAAAGAUGAUGAGGUUAAUAGGUUCGAGGUGGAAGCAUGGUGACAUGUGGAGCUGACGAAUACUAAUCGAUCGAAGACUUAAUCAA